Long non-coding RNA from Triticum aestivum (bread wheat), 1163 nucleotides. RefSeq lists it as uncharacterized. The transcript is spliced from 3 exons. NCBI's taxonomy places the organism in Eukaryota, Viridiplantae, Streptophyta, Magnoliopsida, Poales, Poaceae. The record is from RefSeq and is a predicted model, not a curated record.
CAGAUUUCAUGGUGGCUUCUCUCGAGGGCGGGGCGUCGACCCGUUGGCUGGGCAGCUGGGAUUGCUGCUAACCCACCCGAGUUCAAGUCCUGGCUUGGACGCACGGUGCUCGCGGAGUUUCUCCUAUAAAAAAUGCCAACGAGAGUUAACCCUUGGGUUGGUCUCUUUUUUUUUAUGGUGGCUUCCCUCACCAGUGGACUGCUCAUGACUCGGCAAGAUAGGGAGUGAGAAAGGACAGACAGUUUGUCACCACCGCUGUUUCUAACAUAUCCCCCCUUCCACCACUGCCUUGCGCCGCCCGGAUCCCAUCCUUGCCACCAUUCCCACUUUGGGAGAUGAACGCGCGGAAAGAAGACUCUCCUUGCAAAGGAAAAAAAUCUCUGGAGUCGAGGCCGCCGCAACAGAGGAAUCAAAAAAGUGAUGAUGCUUGAUGCACAUCAGACGAUGCCAAGUCUCUUUCACAGUCUUUCUGAGGUCGUUGCAACACAAUGAGGAUUAGAGUAUUCUCUUUGAAGGUAUCAAGAAAAUUAAACGUUCUGUAAAAAGAGAUUAAGUACUUCAGGGCAUAACAGAUCAAAAUGGUGGCGCGCCGAUCUGUUCAAAUGGUAGCACUUCGCUGAUGUUGGCGCAGCUACCCUUAUACGGGCGUUGGAUUGGACUGACUUCAGCUCUUCAGAGUGACCGAGUACUACAUACAUACAUGGGUGUGGGCCUCCCCUGCGGAUCCUUGCUACAGCGAAUGAAAAUUGCAGGCAGACAAACACUUGAUGGAACAGGUUGGCUCGAGAAAAGAUGGACAUGCCCAUAUGUCCUUUUAAUUUGUGGGAGGAGGCAGUGGGUCUCCAAAUUCAGAACUUAAUUGUUAACCAUCUCUUGGUUAGUAAUAUUAAAACAUAAAUAACUUCCCAUGUGAUUUCAGGUGAAUGAGAGGACCGUGAAGCUUACAGAGGCUAUGAAAUCUAUGGCGAUCUGAUGUCACAGAGCAGCGUCUGAGCUCUUGAUCACUCGAGUAAACAGCCAUCAAAAAUUAGCGAACUGUGAGUGCUACCUGCACUAUCCAACUGUUACAAUGAACUAUGUUGUUCAGUCCAUCCUUGUGGUGUUGUAAUUUGUAAUUAGUUCUUGGAUCGGUUAUUUUAGAUGGACUACACCAUUAUGUACUA